Molecule: ribosomal RNA, 247 nt
Filed under: uncultured Bacillaceae bacterium
Lineage: Bacteria; Bacillati; Bacillota; Bacilli; Caryophanales; Bacillaceae
Description: partial 16S ribosomal RNA
Rfam family: Bacterial small subunit ribosomal RNA
Source: RNAcentral
CACGCCGUAAACGAUGAGUGCUAGGUGUUAGGGGGUUUCCGCCCCUUAGUGCUGAAGUUAACGCAUUAAGCACUCCGCCUGGGGAGUACGGCCGCAAGGCUGAAACUCAAAGGAAUUGACGGGGGCCCGCACAAGCGGUGGAGCAUGUGGUUUAAUUCGAAGCAACGCGAAGAACCUUACCAGGUCUUGACAUCCUUCGCUACCUCUAGAGAUAGAGGGUUCCCUUCGGGGACGAAGUGACAGGUGG